RNAcentral lists this transfer RNA (73 nucleotides) under Ailuropoda melanoleuca (giant panda). It matches the Rfam family "tRNA". Rfam says of the family: Transfer RNA (tRNA) molecules are approximately 80 nucleotides in length. Their secondary structure includes four short double-helical elements and three loops (D, anti-codon, and T loops). Lineage: Eukaryota; Metazoa; Chordata; Mammalia; Carnivora; Ursidae. The record is from Rfam by way of RNAcentral.
CCCUCGCCGGCUCAGUUGGUGGAGCCUGUGACUCUUGAUCUCAGGGUUGUGGGUUUGAGCCCCACGUUGGGGG